This is a long non-coding RNA of Impatiens glandulifera, 811 nucleotides long. RefSeq lists it as uncharacterized. NCBI's taxonomy places the organism in Eukaryota, Viridiplantae, Streptophyta, Magnoliopsida, Ericales, Balsaminaceae. The record is from RefSeq and is a predicted model, not a curated record. The transcript is spliced from 3 exons.
UAGUUUUUUUGUGUCUAUUGUUUUCGAUAAAAGAGUUGAUUUCUUUAUCAUGAAACUAGCUAGAGCUGAGGUUUUAUCUGAGUUGAUGAGCUGGUAGGAUGAUAAUGCCGCGGUUAUUUAUUUGUUUGAUGAAGUGAAAGGGGAGGAGGAUGUAGUCUGUGUGAUAAAGAACACUGCAACUUUAACUGGGUCACUAUUCACCUUACAUGCCUAGCAAGUUCACAUCGAUCUGCCUACAUAAAGAGGUGGUGAUUAUGAUUUGGAGGCAUUCCUGUUUCAAAAGGCUGCUCUUUACAAGUGUAACAUGGCUGGAGCUACUGGUGUUGACAGUAUGACUACGAAUCUUAGACCAACUUGUGCUGAAGCUACUGGUGUUGCUAAUGUUGUGCUGGACGUUAGACCGUGAAUGUGGAAAAAUACGAGUUUUCAAAUAGGCUCUCUGUGUUCCUAGAUACACCUCCCUCCAAGUUUCCAUUGUGAAGAUACCUAAGCAAUGAUGACUCUUUUCAUAACGAUCCAUGUGUGUCAAUGGCGAACUCAGGACCGGGGACGAAUGGAUCGCAGUUCUUCCUGUGCACGGCAAAGACUAAAUGGCUUGAUAAGCAUGUUGUGUUUGGACAGGUUGUUGAUGGAAUGGAUGCUGUGAAGGCGGUAGGACUUCGAAGGCUGUUGUAAUAGCUUAUUGUGGUCAAGUUGUUGCUUAAAUCUUUGGAUGCUGCUUAUAGAUCUAUCUAUGAUCUAUCUAUCGAUUAUGCUUUGAUUUCAUCUUCUGUUAUUAAUGGUUCUUGCUUUGUUUGCUAAGACUAAGAAA